CUCCCAAGUAGACAUAAGUAAUUAUCAACACUUAGCACAUCUGUCAGUCUUUAUUUCAACUCUCAAGCACCAUGUCUCUGGAAUUUUGACCCUUACCUUCAUGAGUUUCCAGUGAGACAGAGCCAGCUGCAAGUCGCAGGGAGGUUGGCACUGCACAGACUCCUGGCUGAGAGCUUCAUGCCAGUUCUCCACAUUCCAAAGGUAUUAAAUAAUUAUGGGGGUGGAGGUAACACUGUCAGAAACAAUUUUGAGUGUAUUCAAUAUUAAAAAGCAGGGCUCUUCAAUGCUGCUGAAUUCUGAUGCCAGGGACUUUACAUAAUCCAACCUGUUGACCAAAGGCAUUCUGGGAGUAAGAGACAUCAGAUGUAAAUGCCAUACUUGAUCCUUUCAUUAUAAGUGACUAAGCCCACCAUGGAGGUCCAAAGAGAAACCUGUCUGAAAAACAAGAGCAUUCAGGUUGGUGAUUCACAAGUAGAGCUCAUAGAGACUACAACUAGAACUGUGGAUGCUGAUGUGAUCCUCAACAGAAAGAGUAAAUUCAAAGGAAGGCAAUAUACCAAAAAAAAAGUUUUAUGACAGAAAUAUGUAUCUAAUACCUCAUCCACAGAGGGAUAAAACAGAGCAAGGUAUAAUCAAUGUCAUGGUCUUGCCUUUUCAUGAGAUUCAAGAAGGAAGAGAGUGAAGAGAAUUUGGAGCUCAAAUUAAAAAAAAAGAAUAUUAACCUUUUUUUUUUACAUGUAAUUGGGAAAUAACUGAAAUAAAAUAUAUUUUAAAAUAAACA
This 781-nucleotide long non-coding RNA is filed under the name Monodelphis domestica (gray short-tailed opossum). RNAcentral describes it as "lncRNA (ENSMODG00000045619.1)". The record is from RNAcentral. Lineage: Eukaryota; Metazoa; Chordata; Mammalia; Didelphimorphia; Didelphidae.